Tigriopus californicus is the source of this 611-nucleotide long non-coding RNA. RefSeq lists it as uncharacterized. The record is from RefSeq and is a predicted model, not a curated record. Lineage: Eukaryota; Metazoa; Arthropoda; Copepoda; Harpacticoida; Harpacticidae. The transcript has 3 exons.
CAACCGGUUGUAGUGUCUCUCUCGGGACUGGCAUUGAGUGGAGUCACUUAUAGCAAUUGGCGCUUGAAUGUUUCAGGAAACUAAUGAUGCCAAUAGUUGUUUGUAAUCAGUACUUGUAGAGACACUUCACUAACUACUUUCUUUCUCUCACUCAGAAAUCCACCAUUGUUUGUUGAUUCAAUUUAUACUCCAUGUUAUUAGCCCGGAGCAUUGCCAGACCUGAAAUUCUGGGCGUUCUGGGAAGGACAAUUUUGGGUCACUUUUGAGCUCUAAAACAUUGAGCAUGGCCUGAGGGUCUUAGGGUUGAGCUUUAAAGCCAAACGUGGAAACAAACCCAUCAGUUUCAUGCCCAGCCCUUCUCAGUGGCGCCUCUCACGGAAAAUCUGGAACCUACUUGAAGCAUUUAGAUCCAUUGGACAUACCCAACACUGUUACGAAAAAUGGCCGUAGCAUUAUGGUUCGAUACUUUCUUUUCAGCGAUCGAAUUGCGUUCCUUACGACCUUCUUUCAAUGGAUGAUUAAUUCUAGACAUCUGGAGAUAAGAUUGAGAUCAUCAAAGACAUCUCCGCCAAGUUUUGGCUUUGUUCCAAACAAUUCAUGUGGCUUUCUGC